This 519-nucleotide ribosomal RNA is filed under the name uncultured bacterium. RNAcentral describes it as "bacterial SSU rRNA". It matches the Rfam family "Bacterial small subunit ribosomal RNA", at positions 1 to 526 of the family's 1533-position model. The record is from RNAcentral.
ACUAGCAGUAAGAGUUUGAUCCGUGGCUCAGGACGAACGCUGGCGGCGUGCUUAACACAUGCAAGUCGAACGGGGUCCAUCCAGUCUUCGGACUGGGGAAGACCUAGUGGCGAACGGGUGAGUAACACGUAAGUAACCUGCCCAGAAGUGGGGGAAUAACCAGCCGAAAGGCUGGCUAAUACCGCAUGUGAUGGCUCUUCUUUGGAGGAACCAUGAAAGGCGAAAGUCGCUUCUGGAGGGGCUUGCGGCCGAUUAGCUUGUUGGUGGGGUAAUGGCCUACCAAGGCCGCGAUCGGUAGCUGGUCUGAGAGGAUGGUCAGCCACACGGGGACUGAGAUACGGCCCCGACUCCUACGGGAGGCAGCAGCUAGGAAUCUUGGGAAUGGGCGAAAGCCUGACCCAGCAACGCCGCGUGAGCGAUGAAGGCCUUCGGGUUGUAAAGCUCUUUUGCGAGGGAAGAUGAUGACGGUACCUCGCGAAUAAGCCACGGCUAACUACGUGCCAGCCGCCGCGGUAAUUC